Molecule: long non-coding RNA, 621 nt
Organism: Mauremys mutica (yellowpond turtle)
Lineage: Eukaryota; Metazoa; Chordata; Testudines; Geoemydidae
Exons: 6
Source: RefSeq, a predicted model, not a curated record
CUGGGAUGGGUCAUCAGUCCCUUGUGUAGAGCUUCAGCUUGUAGCAAAGUCCCUCCAGAGAACUCAGCAGAAUUCCCCAGGCUUGGUCACCAUGUGGCACAGCUGGCUCUGUUCAUCAGUGACCCAGGCAAGGACCUCAGCCGGAAGGCCAGGGAGGGGGUUUACUGGCUCUGCCAGCUGCUGCUGCACCGGAGGGGCUGACCAUCCAGGAGGCCGAAGAGCUGUGGUGCUGGGACAGCAGGCUCCUGGGCUACAGGAACACAGCCAGGGUAGGGGAGGUCUUUGGCAAGUUCUUCUUGGAGAGGCAGAGAAGAUUUUUCCUCCGGACGGAGGGCAGUGCUGGCCAUCCACGACCCCCUGCUGCGUGUCAGCCAGGCUGGGCUGCUCCUCACCUACAGCCUCCUGGGGGAAGCCCAGCAGCUGAUGGCGGACAAGAAAACGGACGCCCCUGUUUAGAAGGUAAGAGCCUCCGAGAGGUUUGGAAGCUGCUCAGUCUGAUGCAUCUGGUGCCAGCUGAAUUCUAGCUCCCUGACACCUGCCCUUGAGCCAGAGCUAGAGACCCACCUCCUUCGAGCUGCUGUCUUUACCCUGGGCACUCAGAAGGACACCACCCAAGUCCAG